Molecule: long non-coding RNA, 1841 nt
Organism: Mustela lutreola (European mink)
Lineage: Eukaryota; Metazoa; Chordata; Mammalia; Carnivora; Mustelidae
Exons: 3
Source: RefSeq, a predicted model, not a curated record
UCCAAGCCCAGUGGGUGGGCGCCCAUUAGAGAGGCGAGAGUACCCAGGUGUUAGGGGUUUUCCAUUGAGGAGGACCCCCCCCUCCCCCGUGCAGGGGUGAGGAGGGCAGAGCAGGUUGAAAACAGUUCACAGGUUUUCCCGGUUGGUGACCCAUCCCUUCAGCACCGUCCGGGGAAUCGAAAUCUUGUGAAGAGUAAUGUUUUUUGACGUUUGGGACUUGUCGGCGCUGGCUCACAUUAGAGCGACACUGGCCCGUAGAAACGGAACACACGGCUCCUGUGUAAUUCGAGAUUUCCUUGUAGCCACAGGGCAAACACGCAGACACAGGUGGGGGUCAGCCUAACUAUAUUUUGCUGACCCCAGCGUUCCCAAAUUCUAACCCUUUCAGUAUGUAAUCGCUGUAAAAAUUAGGAAUGGGAUCUUCUACGUUCUUUUCCUCCCGAGUCUUCCAUAUGUGUCGUGUGUUUGACAGCGUGCGUCUGUCUGGGCUCACGCAUCAGGUGUGAGGAGCCCCGUGGCCCGCCUGGUGGUAGAGUCACCUGGGGGGUGUCUUUAACGUGUCCGAGUGAAGGUGCUGAAGAUUAGGCGUGAUUGUGCCCAGAUAAACCCCAGGCAGUGGUUUUUUGUUUGUUUUGUUGUUUGAGUCCCCUAACCAAGGAAUCUCCUUGAAGGCACCCCACAGAACACAAACGUGUGUUUGGGACCUUGAGUUUGGGUUUGAGAACCAUUCCCCCAAAUGCAGUAUUCCUUCCGACUCCCAUAUGUGACGUGCUGGCCCUUCUACCCCGACUUCCCGUCCCGCGGGUGCCCGUCACCCCGUCCACAGAGUCUCUGACCAGACUUACCUACGCCCGCCUCUGUGUCUUCAUUAUUCCCUAUAAACGCCGUGGUGUUCUAACACUCCCCAAGUCACCGACCCCUUUCUGGGCCUCCUGCAAAUGUUUACCAAAAAAAUUUCCCCUGGCCUCCGACUUUGGGAAGAGACUGAAACCAUGUGGUGGGCAGAGAGCACACCCCACCCCGCAACCCUAUUGGGUCCCCCCAUGGUCGUGUGGGAGGGCAUGAGGUCCCCACAUUCAGGCAGGGUACCUGGCACCUGGUACAGACCGGUUGGCUGAAGAACAGAGGUGAGCCAAGGCCCGAGUCAGCUGGGGUGGGUCCUGGGUGGUGAGCUGUGCCCUUUCCACCGUGGUCUCCGCCGUUUCCCACCAGGGCUCCAGACGCCCUCCACUUGGUGAUGCCCAAGCAGGCGGCUGACUUCCUAACUCCCCCAGCCACCAGAAUCCCCCAGAAUCUCCCUCUGCUCUCUGGGUGUCAGGUGACCGGUUCGCCCAGGUUGGGGUGGGGCCGGGGCUGCCAGUCCUGCCCUUCCCGUCGGUGGCGUGCGCUUGCCCCCACCCCCGGCCCGUUCCUGAGGACCGUUGGCUGCGUGGCUGGUCUGGUGCUUUGGGCUGUGCCAUAGGAAGCUCGCUGUGGAAACUCUGGAGUCCAGGCCUGCUGGCUGAGGCUCCGGGAAACCCAGUCUGCUAACCUGAGACACUUGGCCCAAAGAGUAGAGAUGCCUCUGCCAGCCGGGCCUCACUGUUGGCGGUGCCCUUCUCCUCCACUUGACUUCCAGGUGGACUCAGCAGGGGCUGGCGAGAUGGCAGCCGCUUUUGAGCGAGGUCUCUCUGUCGUUCACACAUCGCUUUGGAAACGCUACCCGUCGCUGUGCCUCGGCUCUUUGAAGGACAUUUUUGUCCCCGUUGGGUGCCUCUGUUAAGUGUCCUGAUAACGGCACAAGGAAGUUUAAGUCUGAUUCACUUCAGGAUUUUCAGAAUAAAAAAAUGUUUUAUAGUUGC